UUCCCAGUGAUGUUUUACUAUCUGUCAAAAUUGAUGUUUUUUUGUGCGUUUAUUUUUAUUCAACAAUCAUUAUUAUAAUUGUUUAAAAAAAAAAAUAGUUUUUUCUUGUAAAACUAGUUUCAUUAAACUGUGAAAUUAUUAAAAAAAUAGAGAAUGUAAAAAAGUUAUAUGAAUUUCACAACACAUGAAAUUGUAUAUUAAGAUAACCUCAAAAUUUUUCUAAUAUUGUUGAUAUAUUUUUAUUUGUUAUUUUAUCAAUAAUUAUUAAUUAUCGAUAUUUUAAUUUACAUUAAUAAAUCAUGUGCUCACCAAUGGAUUCACCAGGAAUUCGUGCUCUGGAAGCAGCGAGAAAUAUUAAAGAUUUGGCAAUAUUCAAAAAACCAAUUGGUGUUGCCAAAAAGAGUAAUUGUUAUCGUGUUAAAAUUUUAGAUGAAGACACUUACAUUGGCAAUAUGGGAAACAUAAUUGAAAGGGAUUUCUUUCCUGAUUUAAAGAAAUUGAAAGCCCAAAAUGAAUAUUUAGAGGCCUUGGAACAAAACGACGUGAAACGAAUGCGAGAAUUAUAUGAAAAAUAUAGUUCAGGUAGACCAGUUACAGAACGACCUGCAAGUCCUGCUACAUUUGAAACACCACUUCGUAGAAAUGAUGACAAUUCAGGAACUUCAACUGACCUACCUUCUAAAGAUGAAUCUUUCAUAAAUUUAGCAAAAUCCGAAAUUACCAAUGAUUGUAAAAUUGGAUUAGAUAAUUAUCUUAGAUCUCAUACAAGUGAAGAUAAUGCCAGUUUUCAGGAAAUUAUGGCCGAAGUUGAAAAACGACAUAAAUUAAAAUACGCCUGGUUAUAUAAAAAUGAGGAAACAGCAAAAAUUCUCGCGUUAGAAAAAGAAAAAUCAUUAGCCAUUGAGACAAAUGAAAAACCAAAAGAAUUGGAAAUGUGGAAUUAUACAAAUAAAAAUUAUAUUAUGUACGUUCCCGAUGGUGUGGAAUUAACAACAGAUGAAAAAAUUGAAAUGGCAAAACAAAAACAAGAAGUUAUUCACACAAAUACACGACUCACUGUUAAUCCCUUUAAUGAACAACAAAAUAAAGAGACAAUCAGCGAAUUAGCAAAAUCACAAUCAAAAGUAAAUGAUGGUAAAAUAGGUGUUGAUGGUAAGGAGGUCGUUAAAAAUCAAACACCUAGAAUAAAUGGAUUUAGUAUUGUCGCAACACCAAGUCCACGACCUGGUGAAUGUGAAAGUCCACUUAUGACAUGGGGUCAAAUAGAAGGUACACCAUUUAGAUUAGAUGGAGGUGAUACACCACUAUUAAGGGCAAAUCAAGGACUAUCAUUUAGAAUGGCAGAACCACCAAAGAGAGAACAAAUUGCCUUUCAACUCGCUGAAAAAGCUGGCGAAAGACAUAGGGAUAGAAAAAUCAAAGCUUUGGAAGCUGCAAGAAGAUCAUUGGCAACACCAUCACCAAAAUCAACAAUUGAUCGUUUAAGUACAAUGUCACCAGCAGCUCGUAGAUUAGCAACUCAAAAAUUAAAAAUUAUUGGAACUCCAUCGCCAAUUUCUUCGAGAUCAAGAUCAAAAUCACGAACACCGUCUAUUGGUGUACGAACACCAGGUACACCGGGUACAUUAAUUUUGGGAAAAAAUCGACAAUCUUCGCAAAAUAUUGCAAAAAUGAAUAUUGUUUCAACAGAUUCUCAAGAACCUGUCUCAACAGACAAUUUACUUAAACUUCCUAUUCAAAGACAAAGGGCUUCAGAUUUUUUCAAUAAUUGAAAAAAUUAACGAUAUUUAUAUUGAUGGUUUAUCGGCGGGUUUGAAUUCAAAUUUUAAUAUUUGUGGAUUAAAAUGUGGACUUGGAAUUAAUGGCGCCAUUCCUAAUGCAUGUCAAUAUUCUAAAUCAUCUGGAACACCUUCAUUACGAAAUCGAAAUUCUUCAUUAAAAUUGUCACAAUUCUUUGAGACAUUAAGAGGCUUAUUAAAAUAUAAGGAAAAUUUACUGAAACAAUUAUUAUCCAGUUUUCAGUCACAAGGUUCAUAUCAAAAUAGUCCUUUGUUAACAGUGAAUUUGACGCCGACAAUUGAACAAAUAAAAUUGUCAAAUAAACCAAAAGGAUCAUCUCGUAGAUAUUCACCUCGUAAAAAUGAAAUUCGAAUUUUACCUAGUCAUUCAUGUGAUUGUUUAGAAGAAUGUUGUUUUAAUUAUGGCAAUAAUUACAACCCAAUGGUUUAGUUUUAAAAUUCGAAUUCAUCAAUUUUUCAACACCAGUAAUUAAAAUAUUAAUUAAUAAAAAUUAAAUUAAUGUUAUAUACUCGUAUAUUAUAAAAUAUAUAUAGGAAAUUUUGAUAAUUAAUAUUAUUCUGUCAAAUAUAUUAUGAUCAACGAAAAAUUUUGUAUACAUUGUAUUAUCAAAAUAUUAUAUGUAUAAAAACUGAAUUUAUUUUUAAUAAAUAUACAUUUUUAUUCAA
This is an RNA transcript of Leptopilina boulardi, 2465 nucleotides long. It is a transcript of the gene named splicing factor ESS-2 homolog, with no coding region annotated. NCBI's taxonomy places the organism in Eukaryota, Metazoa, Arthropoda, Insecta, Hymenoptera, Figitidae. The record is from RefSeq and is a predicted model, not a curated record. The transcript has 6 exons.